This 522-nucleotide long non-coding RNA is filed under the name Panicum hallii. Its description in RNAcentral is "long non-coding RNA (PHAL_LNC000627)". The record is from RNAcentral. Lineage: Eukaryota; Viridiplantae; Streptophyta; Magnoliopsida; Poales; Poaceae.
CACUUUUCCACUUGAAACAUACAUCCUAUGAUUUAUCUUUCAGUUAAAACAUAUGCAUACAAUAUAUGGUACAAACAAAGCAUUCAUUCCCUAACAUUUAACCUAAACCACAGAUCAAAACUUUCAAUUCAAGAGCAUAACACAAACUUGUAGCUGUUCACUGAUUUGAAACAAAGAAAGUUUUGAAAAUUUUACAAAGGACACCCUAGAACUUUCUAAAACAUAACAAUCAAGUCCCUAGUCCGGGAAAACAGGUAACAGAAUGUUAACGAUGAUAUCCCGGCAAAGGAAUCGCCGGCAUUAAGAAGAUUCAGAGAAUCAGGGCAAACCUUGGGGUAGCCUUGGUUAUGAAGAAGAAUACGCGGAAAGUAAAUUCCCGCGGUGAACAAGAUCGGCGAAGAGAAAAGCCCGACGAUGAUGAGACUCCGUGAAUGACGAAGAAGUUUGUCGGGAAGGGUUGCCGUGGGUGGAAGAUGGCCUGUUGUCUUGUAUAUGUACGCGCUUGCUGACUCGAGUCGAGCC